AAUGCUGACAUAAGUAACGAUAAAGCGGGUGAAAAGCCCGCUCGCCGGAAGACCAAGGGUUCCUGUCCAACGUUAAUCGGGGCAGGGUGAGUCGACCCCUAAGGCGAGGCCGAAAGGCGUAGUCGAUGGGAAACAGGUUAAUAUUCCUGUACUUGGUGUUACUGCGAAGGGGGGACGGAGAAGGCUAUGUUGGCCGGGCGACGGUUGUCCCGGUUUAAGCGUGUAGGCUGGUUUUCCAGGCAAAUCCGGAAAAUCAAGGCUGAGGCGUGAUGACGAGGCACUACGGUGCUGAAGCAACAAAUGCCCUGCUUCCAGGAAAAGCCUCUAAGCAUCAGGUAACAUCAAAUCGUACCCCAAACCGACACAGGUGGUCAGG
Molecule: ribosomal RNA, 376 nt
Filed under: Escherichia coli
Lineage: Bacteria; Pseudomonadati; Pseudomonadota; Gammaproteobacteria; Enterobacterales; Enterobacteriaceae
Description: partial 23S ribosomal RNA
Rfam family: Bacterial large subunit ribosomal RNA
Source: RNAcentral